UACGUAGGUGGCAAGCGUUGUCCGGAUUUACUGGGCGUAAAGAGCGCGCAGGCGGUCGCUCAAGUCGCGUGUGAAAGCCCCCGGCUCAACUGGGGAGGGUCACGCGAUACUGAUCGACUGGAAGGCAGGAGAGGGUAGUGGAAUUCCCGGUGUAGUGGUGAAAUGCGCAGAUAUCAGGAGGAACACCGGUGGCGAAGGCGGGUCUCUGGGCCGAUAUUGACGCUGAGGAGCGAAAGCGUGGGGAGCGAACAGG
This 253-nucleotide ribosomal RNA is filed under the name uncultured bacterium. RNAcentral describes it as "partial 16S ribosomal RNA". It matches the Rfam family "Bacterial small subunit ribosomal RNA", at positions 524 to 776 of the family's 1533-position model. The record is from RNAcentral.